UUGUAGUAAUUUGACGUAUUGUUGAAAAAAGUAGGUCAAGUUAGAGCAGAGAAAAUAAAUGAUAGUCACAAAAAAAUAUCUUCUCAGCUUUGCAUCGAAGCGAAAACUUAAAAUAUAGUAAAAUAAUUUUAAUACGAAUAAGAAAUUUCUUCUUGCAAGGGGCGACUAAAGUGAUGGGAUCCUUGAUCUUUAUUGAAGUUAUUGAAUCUAAAUGUGAUAAAAAUCAAACGAGUUAAAAAUUUUACUAACUUAAAAAGAAUUAAGAAAAAAUGCAAAAAAUUCAUUGCCAUACGCGGGUUGGAACCUCGUACCCCAAGCGUGUAAAACAUAAAUUUUACCAACUCGGCAACCGUACGUUGCUUCCGGCGGUUGAAAAAUUGGCUAUUUAAGCUAGUUCAAAUUUCAAAGUUAUUUUUCUCGACUUAAAAGAAACAAACAUAUUUAAAUAAGUUUAACUAUCUAUACUAUAUCAAUUUUAAUUUAUAUAAUAUUUAUGAAAAUCUGUACUCCCCUUGUCAGGUAUUUUAAAAUAAAAUAAAAUACAAAACCCAGAAUUUUAACACAAAAAUAGCAUAUUUUUGCAUACGGUAGUCAUUUUUACCAUGAAGACAAAUCCAGAGGUCAAAUUUUUUUUUUUCACAUUAAAGUAUAUUACAUAAGCUUUAAUUUAAGAUAUAUUUAAAAGUGUCAGUAUUUCCGGAAUACUUUCAAAAAUUAAAUUGAAAAUAUCGUAGUAACAAUACGCAUGUUUAAAGUUUUGACCCCCCUUGUUAAAGGGGUAUGAUCCGAUUUACAAAAAAAGCGUGCCAGAUGAAAGGGGUAUAUCAAUAUUUAUUAUAAAAAAAUAAUAAUAUAGAUCCAUACAUUUUUCCAAAAGUUAUAUAAAAUAUAAAUUAAAUAAUAUAACAUAUAAAAUCGAGAUUUUUUUCACGGAAAUCGUACGUUUUUCUUUAACUUUGAUGUCCGUUUUCACCACGAAGACAAGUCCAGAGGUCAAAUUUUUUUUUUUCAAAUUAAAGUAUAUUACAUUAGCUUUAAUUUAAGGUAUAUAUAAAAUUGUCAGUCUUUCCGGAACAUUUUCAAAAGUUAAGUUGAAAAAGUUAAUUUUUUGUAAAAAAGUUACCAUUUUGAAACCCCAUCCUUUGGGCUGUUAAAGGGUCAAA
Long non-coding RNA from Daktulosphaira vitifoliae (grape phylloxera), 1163 nucleotides. RefSeq lists it as uncharacterized. NCBI's taxonomy places the organism in Eukaryota, Metazoa, Arthropoda, Insecta, Hemiptera, Phylloxeridae. The record is from RefSeq and is a predicted model, not a curated record. The transcript has 2 exons.